GACGAACGCUGGCGGCGUGCUUAACACAUGCAAGUCGAGCGGUAAGGCCCUUUCGGGGUACACGAGCGGCGAACGGGUGAGUAACACGUGGGUGACCUGCCCUCAGCUCUGGGAUAAGCCUGGGAAACUGGGUCUAAUACUGGAUAUGACUCCACGGUGCAUGUCGUGGGGUGGAAAGCCUUGUGCGGCUGAGGAUGGGCCCGCGGCCUAUCAGCUUGUUGGGGGGUGAUGGCCUACCAAGGCGACGACGGGUAGCCGGCCUGAGAGGGCGACCGGCCACACUGGGACUGAGACACGGCCCAGACUCCUACGGGAGGCAGCAGUGGGGAAUCUUGCGCAAUGGGCGAAAGCCUGACGCAGCGACGCCGCGUGAGGGAUGACGGCCU
RNAcentral lists this ribosomal RNA (386 nucleotides) under uncultured bacterium. RNAcentral's name for it is "bacterial SSU rRNA". It matches the Rfam family "Bacterial small subunit ribosomal RNA", at positions 28 to 417 of the family's 1533-position model. The record is from RNAcentral.